CUUGCGUGAAAGAGGGCAGAAGAUAAGGCAUCGGUCUGGAUCUUUAAGAGUCCCCAGCUACUGCAAAACUCGUCCUGCGCAUAUAAGAAGCAGCACCGUUUAUGACUCACUACUCAUAGGUUACGGGACUGGCAUCUACAUUGUGAAAGAAAACAGCUGGUUUAUCCAAUAGUUUCCUCUGUUGAGUCUAUGGAACCAGUGCAGAUUAACUUAAUAAAAUUUUCCCAGCAUCAUCUUCUGAUGUUGUUUUAUCUGCUAAUGACUAAGUGUUCACAUAAAACAAGAAAAAAAAGACAGUAAGACAGAAGCUACAGCAAUGUCACUGGCUAGCCUCUGAGCAGUGUAAAAACAUUACUACUUGGAAGUAGAACCAGCCUUAAUAAAACAGAAGCACAUAUCUUCUAGGAAUAUUUCUCAGGGGGAAAUCCUAUCUUAAAAAUUCUGUCAGCUCUUUUUCAUAAACAGGUUCAUUAUUUUUCAAUGAAGUUCCACAAAUAAACAGUGUUUAUUGGUUAAUCUGUAAAUUAAAGUUGGUGCUUUACUGCCAA
Molecule: long non-coding RNA, 548 nt
Organism: Protopterus annectens (West African lungfish)
Lineage: Eukaryota; Metazoa; Chordata; Ceratodontiformes; Protopteridae
Exons: 2
Source: RefSeq, a predicted model, not a curated record